CCUACGGGAGGCAGCAGUAGGGAAUCUUUCACAAUGGGCGAAAGCCUGAUGGAGCAACGCCGCGUGCAGGAUGAAGGCCUUCGGGUUGUACACUGCUUUUAUAAGCGAGAAAUAUGAUGGUAACUUAUGAAUAAGGAUCGGCUAACUACGUGCCAGCAGCCGCGGUCAUACGUAGGAUCCGAGCAUUAUCCGGAGUGACUGGGUGUAAAGAGUUGCGUAGGUGGCCUAAUAAGUAGCUAGUGAAAUCUGGUGGCUCAACCAUUCAGACUAUUAGCUAAACUGUUAAGCUCGAGACCGUUAGGGGUAACUGGAAUUUCUAGUGUAGGAGUGAAAUCCGUAGAUAUUAGAAGGAACACCAAUAGCGUAGGCAGGUUGCUGGGACGGUUCUGACACUAAGGCACGAAAGCGUAGGGAGCAAACGGGAUUAGAUACCCGAGUAGUC
RNAcentral lists this ribosomal RNA (442 nucleotides) under uncultured bacterium. RNAcentral's name for it is "partial 16S ribosomal RNA". It matches the Rfam family "Bacterial small subunit ribosomal RNA", at positions 338 to 795 of the family's 1533-position model. The record is from RNAcentral.